Molecule: long non-coding RNA, 952 nt
Filed under: Junco hyemalis (dark-eyed junco)
Lineage: Eukaryota; Metazoa; Chordata; Aves; Passeriformes; Passerellidae
Description: lncRNA (ENSJHYG00000003880.1)
Source: RNAcentral
GAGGGAGGGGCCGCAGCCCCCCCCCAAAAUACAGAAUUCGGCGCCCCCUUUUUGGGGGGACCCCAAAAAUCCAAAUCCCCCCUCUCUGUCGGGUGAGAGGAGGAAAAUUCCCGAAGGAAUUCCCGAGGGAAUUCCCGGGAUCGGGGGAAUCCUGGGAAAACCCCGGGGGAGGGAGCAGGGCCGGGUCUGUCCCUUUAAAUUCGGAAUUUUAUAUUUUUUUAUCCAUUAAUUUUAAUUUUUUUUAUUUAAUUAAUAAUAAUAAAUAAAAACCUCGAGGCUUUAAAAAAAAAAAAUAAACCCCAAAAAAACCCGCCAGGAAUCAAAGGAGGAAGGGAAAAAAAUGAUUUAAAAAUUAAUGAGUGAGCCCCAGGAAUUAAUUAAGAAUUAAUUAAAACUUAAUUAAGCCGAGGAGGAAAAUUGGGGACGUCACCCAUGGGACCCCCAUUUUUGGGACCAUCCCCAUUUUGGGGACCUUCUCCUUUUUGGGGACCCCCUUCAUGGGACCCUUCAUUUUGGGGACCAUCCCCACCUUGGUGACCCCAAUUUUGGGGACCCCCCCCCAUUUUGGGGACCAUCCCCACCUUGGUGACCCCCCCAUUUUGGGGACCUUCAAUGGGAUCUCCCAAUUUGGGGAUCUUCAAUGGACUCCCCCAUUUUGGGGACCUUCAAUGGGAUCUCCCAAUUUGGGGAUCUUCAAUGGACCCCCCCAUUUUGGGGACUUUUAAUGGGACCCCCCCAUUUUGGGGACCCCCACUCUAAUUUGGGGACCCCCCCACUUUGGGGACCCCCCAGUUUGGGGACAUCACCCAUGGGACCCCCAUUUUGGGAACCGUCCUCAAUUUGGGGGCCCCCUCAUGGGACCCUCCAUUUUGGGGACCUUCUCCACUUAGGGGACCCCCACUCCAUUUUGGGGACCCUUUAGGCCUUGGGGACCCCCCCUCAUUUUGGGGAC